GUUCUUCAUUUAAAUGUAUGGAAAUCAAUUAUGCCUAAGCGGUAUAUUUAUUAAACAUGUUCAAUUGAUUUUAUUAAAAACGCAUUGGAAAACAAUAGGUGCAUGUAUUAAACUGUAACUUUAGAAAGCUAUGGGUGUGACUAUUCGUUGUAAUGUCGUCAAUAUUGAUACAUUGAAUAGGUUUCAAUUUAUCCGAUGUUACCAUAGUGAAAUCCAGAAAUGCAGAACAACCACAAGUAGUAUAGGAGGGACCGGUGUGGUUGGACUAGUAUGACAUAUAUAAAGACACAAGAUGGAUUAUGCUGAAUAUGGGCAUUUAUUUAUGCCAAAACUGAGACAUCCUAAGUACAUCACAGUGAAAAAACCAAACUCAAGGCGGCAGGUGGGGAGGAGGAGGUUAGCUGUUGAUAGAAACAAGCCUCCUUCAACGAUAAAACAAAAUGGCCAAGCUGCAUAUUGAUUGGUUGAACCGUGCUAUUGACAUGACGCGUUAUCUAUGAUCGCUCCGCCCACUAGAAUUGAUCCACCAAUCAGCGAUCGAUUAAUCGGGCGCACUCGUUAGCAACGACCUGUCCGCCAUUUUCUAGACAAGCUACAUGUUUAGGUUCACUUUUAUUCAAACGAGUUUCUUUUGUUUUUCUCUUAAAAAAAACGAUUAAAAAUGGUUAAACGGUGUCAAUGGGGAUUAUGUAACUCGGACAAUCGAUAUCUUGAAAGAUUAGUUGGUGACAUUUAAUUUAUAUCGUUUCCAAAGCCGAUAAGAGAUCUUGAGAAGUGUAAGAGAUGUAUAAAUACAUGCGGUCGAACAACUGAACGUCAACACUGUCAAAGACAAUUAUAAUAUAUUUUUAUCGGAUAUACUAGCAGGUUUAAAUAGUUUAUGUUAUCGAUCUGAUUAUCACAUAUUUAAUUUUUCGGCGUAAGCUGCAUAAGCCAGCUUUUCACCCUGACUUGACCUUUGUAAGUGUCCAAUAAAAUUCAAAUAAAAUUUCCCGCGGCUAGGUACGAAUGAAUACACUUCAUUUAUUCCAUUGGCUGAUUUGAGUAUACCACCAGAACAUUGGAAA
Dreissena polymorpha is the source of this 1067-nucleotide long non-coding RNA. RefSeq lists it as uncharacterized. The transcript is spliced from 3 exons. The record is from RefSeq and is a predicted model, not a curated record. NCBI's taxonomy places the organism in Eukaryota, Metazoa, Mollusca, Bivalvia, Myida, Dreissenidae.